Molecule: ribosomal RNA, 207 nt
Filed under: uncultured bacterium
Lineage: Bacteria
Description: partial 16S ribosomal RNA
Rfam family: Bacterial small subunit ribosomal RNA
Source: RNAcentral
UAGGUAGGUGGUCUCAUUUGUCUGGGGUGAAAGCCUUGAGCUUAACUCAAGAAGUGCCCCAGAAACGGUGAGACUAGAGUCCUGGAGAGGGUCGUGGAAUUCCCGGUGUAGCGGUGAAAUGCGUAGAGAUCGGGAGGAACACCAGAGGCGAAGGCGGCGACCUGGACAGGUACUGACACUCAACUACGAAAGCGUGGGGAGCAAACA